CCUACGGGGGGCAGCAGUGAGGAAUAUUGGUCAAUGGCCGGAAGGCUGAACCAGCCAAGCCGCGUGAAGGACGAAGGUGCCAAGCAUUGUAAACUUCUUUUGUCAAGGGACAAAAUCAGGCUCGAGAGCCUGACCGAGGGUACUUGAAGAAAAAGCAUCGGCUAACUCCGUGCCAGCAGCCGCGGUAAUACGGAGGAUGCGAGCGUUAUCCGGAUUUAUUUGGUUUAAAGGGUGCGUAGGCGGACGAUUAAGUAAGCGGUAAAAGCCCGGGGCUAAACCCCGGCGAGCCGUUGAAACUGGCUGUGUUGAGAUGUCGAGAGGUAUGCGGAAUGCGUAGUGUAGCGGUGAAAUGCUUAGAUAUUGCGCAGAACUCCGAUUGCGAAGGCAGCAUACCGGCGGCGAUCUGACGCUGAGGCACGAAAGCGUGGGUAUCGAACAGGAUUAGAUACCCUGGUAGUC
Molecule: ribosomal RNA, 459 nt
Filed under: uncultured bacterium
Lineage: Bacteria
Description: partial 16S ribosomal RNA
Rfam family: Bacterial small subunit ribosomal RNA
Source: RNAcentral